RNAcentral lists this long non-coding RNA (1607 nucleotides) under Diabrotica virgifera virgifera (western corn rootworm). Its description in RNAcentral is "uncharacterized LOC126879806". Lineage: Eukaryota; Metazoa; Arthropoda; Insecta; Coleoptera; Chrysomelidae. The record is from RNAcentral.
GACGUUCCGCCCCUUAUAGAAUCGAUUAUUGAUGGGAAGAUAUUAUUUAACUAUCCAAAAUAUUAUUUAAUUAUUUUCAGAAUUAUUUUCUUUCAAUGUUUAUUCAAAUAGAACUUAAACCCAUCUCAGAAUUUUUAAAUGCUUGAUGACGUCACAUUUAAAACGUGGCAACAUUGGUUUCCCCACUUUGACAGCCAAUGCUUAGUAGAGGGGUACGAAGGAUUCAGCUGUGAACGUGAGCCUUGGAUUGCCAUUGUUUCUCGAGUGUUCGGUCUGAAUCGUAGUGUGCGGGGUCAUUAGACUCAAUUAUUCACCUCUAAUUCUCAGUUCCAAAUUGAUUAAAUAUUACAAUAAAAGUAUAGUGAAGUUAUCCAGCAGCAGUGGAUUUGAAGAAUUUUAGAGCAUACUAUAUCCAAUGAGUUCUACCCCGCACCUACCAUGAAAUCUUAAAGCCACCCUACAACAACACCAAGGCCAGACCACACAGAGAGAAACAAUCAAUAGGCGACCAGCCUGGAUUAUUUCCACAUUUUCUUUUUUUUUGAGUACCUCCAGCUGCUUUCCAACAGUUUUGAGUACCUUCAGCUGCUUUCUACCAGUCUUCCUCUCCUGUACCUCCAGCAGGACAGCUGCUAGCGAGAGUUAGCACCCUUGGGUGCUCAUUACAUCAACUUCAAGAUUAGGAAAGAGUGGUUUGUUUGGGAACAUUUACUGUGCUUUUAUUAAAGACAGACUGGUUUUGUGAUAUUUAGUACAUUUUUUUUUAUAGUUCAAUUGCACACACAAUUUUCCUGCUUUAUAUUUUUUAUAGGUUUUUUUUCUUUACAACAUAAUAUUUAAUUGAUAGCGUUCCCCAACACUCUGCAAUCUAUAAAGGUAUAAAUUUCUGAGCUCAGAUAUUUUCCCUGAUAAUAGUAGUCGGUACUCUUAUCUUGAUUAUUUUUAGGCUGUGUUCCACUUUUGUAUAAUUAUUUAAACUCAUUCCAUUAUUUUAGUAUAUGUUUAAUUAAAUUUUUAAAAAUUAACUUCACAUAUUAGUCAAAAUUGUAAUUAUUAACUUUAUUUAACUUGAACUUAUUAACUUUACUUAACUUUAACUUAUUAACUUUAUUUAACUUUAACUUUAAUUUAUUAAAUUCAUAUGAACUUCUGGAUUCUAAUCCCUCAGAUUAGUUUUUGGUUUCACUUGUUAUUAUUACUAUUAUAAACCACGAGUUAGGAAAAGGAUCUGUGUAUCCACUCGUAGGUUUAUUUAUUCAAUAAGGCUUGUGCCUGUCCCACUCACAGUGAGGUAUUUAUAUGUUAUAUAUAGUAUCAGGUAGUAUUUAAUUAAGGUGUACGUAUUAUAAACGUACAAUUAUUAUUUGGUGAGGGUUCUACUAACCUAGUUGUAAGUUGUACUUCCUGUAUUAGAGGUACCCGUAGUCAGUUUUUCUAACCUUAUAAAGAGUAUUCUUAGAUCAUAGUUGUAUGAUGAUUUUGUAAUUGACUUUCACUAGUAUCACUUUUUCCUGUCAUGUUAGAGUUACACACUAGUUACUUGUCCUAACUCAGAGAUUGUUAAAAAGAUCUAGUAGUUACAUUCAAUAAAUAUACAUUUAUUGUGA